Non-coding RNA from Cyanistes caeruleus (blue tit), 3091 nucleotides. NCBI's taxonomy places the organism in Eukaryota, Metazoa, Chordata, Aves, Passeriformes, Paridae. The record is from RefSeq and is a predicted model, not a curated record.
UUUCUCCUUUUUUUUCUUCCCUAGCCAUGCUUGGUGAUUAAACUUCCUCAGGAUGGGGAAGAAAAAGGAGCUGGAAAUGAAAUAGGGUUGAGGAAAAAUCCCAUUGCAGCAGCUGCAGCCAGUGGUGACUGCUGCCAGAUGUGCGAAGGUUCCUGGGGUCCUUGUCACUAAAAGGCAGUAUUCAAAUAUUUGGAGACAAAAGCUGCAUCCUCAGUGAUCAUUUUCUUUAUUUAACAUGGCAGCAGGCAUCGUGUGGGGAAAAAUCAACAUGCUGGAUGUUGAAUCGGACUUUUAUCCUUUCUGGGAUGAAAGGAUGUUAUCUAUCCCGUGCCAAGAGGGAACUGAGGUGCAGGGGGAGGGGAAGAAAGUCUUCCAAACUAGCCCGCCAUGAGCAAUGAACAUAUGGCUGUUACUAUCAGCACUGGUGUAUUUGCGGCGAUGCCUAUCAACAUCCACCAGAGAGCAGGGCAGCUCCAAAACCCACAUCUUUUAUGCUGUGGAAAUUGAUGGAGACAGCAGCACAGCCAGCUUCUUGGCCAAACAACAUGGAAUGCAGUUCAUUUCAAAGGUACUGGUCUCUUAGCCUGUAAGGCUUGUGCAUGAUGUCUCUGAGAGCAAUUUCCAGCAGAGUGAAGCCUUAUCACAGAUUCACCUAAAAGGUGAAGUGGGUGAAUAUCAGACAGCUCAUUAUAGAGACAUGCAAGCUGCAUUCCCAAAGUAGGAUGACAGAACAAGUCAUGAGUGGCAAAGACAUUGCAGUCCCCAAAGGAUUUUUUUUUCCUGGCGGAUAAGAGUCAUGGAUGUUAAAGGAGACACUAAUCAGGCUGUUGUGAAAGAUCUGAUACCAGCUUUGGUCAAAGGGGUCGAGUGUCAUCCUGAGAGUGCUCCUCUUUGGGACAGGAAACCGACGGAGCGAAGCCCUGAGAACAUGCCGCGACACUUCAUAUUCAAUCCACAGACCUAUAAAGAGAUGAAAAAUGAGCCUUGUCCAAAGCUCUUACCUCAGCACCCAGUGGCAAAAAUAAAAUGUGAGCUUGGGACCAGGUCUCUUUGAAGCUGAUUUUUUCUAUUUUUUUUUCUAAACUCUCUAACAGGCCUCUGGUGGUUACAGGUAUUGAUCGUCAGAAAGUAAUCUGUUCAGGUUUGGGGGCAUGCCAGACCGAAUCCUGCAGUAUGUUCCUUCCUCUCCAAGGACAUGUUGAGCUUUUCAUACUGUCCACACUGGCAUGCUUGUCAGCUGUCUGGCUUCUUUGUCUUUACUGCUUUCCCUGUUUGUGGAAAGCAUAUUAUUAAACCUCCCUUAUACGAAUAUUGUACAUUACUCCUCUAGAAUUUUCUACCCGUGCUGAAGGUUUUUUACCCCAAUUUUUAACCCUCAUUUUUCUUCUAUAAUCAUUAUUUGAUUCCCUCUGGCUGCCUGCUACUUAUUUGUAGUAGUACCAUUCAUCCAUUGAGACUUUUCCAUCUGUCACACAGUUUUACUUUCUCUCCCCAGAAGCUUUCUUCUCCUACUGUGCCAUGCUUGAUUUUUUGGGUUUAAUUGCAUGUUUGUUUGCUCUUUUUAGUAUUUUAAAAAAUGCUUCAGUAUUUAGAACAAAUACAAGAAGAAGAGAAAACUCCCAACAUAGCAAAGAGAAGCUCAAAUCCAGUACUGCACAUAGAAACAGGAAGAGGAGACAGAUUCCUGGUGAAUUAAGGAAUCAACACAUAUAGCCAGGGCAGAACUAGUGGCCAGACCUUGCUCUCUGUGAAUUGUUUUCAUUGCCUUCCAAAUCCUUCCAGUUUUGUGCUAGAUAAAUAGGUGAUGUCAGGAAAUGUUGCAUUCCCUCUGCUGUACUGACUCCCUUUAGUGUAUUGAUUACAAAGAUGAUCUGAGGAAAACCAAACAUACUGAGGUACAAUACUGUGAUUAUGUUAAGCAAAUAAUGUUUUAAAGUGUCAGGCACUGACACCUUACCUAAACAAGAUUGUGGUCAUAUCCUACAUUUAAAAUUAAAUGAGCAAUUUUUGUUUUCAGAGGGUAGAUAUUAAAGAAAUGCAGCACUUGUUAGUGUUUCCCAGGUGAAAUGCAGGAAGGUCUAAAGCCAGCAGCAUAACCCCUCAGAAUCAUUGUUUUUUCUCUGUGUAUCUUCAACCCCUAUUAAAGCAAGUUUUAGUUUUUGAUGUGAGUAAGAACAGGAAAUUUAACAGCAGCUCUACAGAUCACUUGCGAUUGAAUCAAAUCUCAAAUCUUCAGUCUUGGAGAACUCACAAAAUUACCUGCUUCUGAUAAUAUAUUUUGAAUAUCUCUUUAUUAUUUUCUUCUUCUUUUCCUCAUAUACAUCUCAUUGUAUCAUCUUAUGUUCUUGUUUCAAAAGUUCCUGCAAGUUUAUCUAUAUUAUUAGGAUUGGUAAAAAAGUAUGUGUUGUGUUUUCAGAAAUCUUUUUUUGUCAGUAGAAAUGCUUUCAUUGUUUAUAAAAUUGCUUCUCUGGCUGUAUAAAAAGUGCUGGUAGUCUUCAAACAAACACAAAAGCUGUGUGUGUGUCCUUGUUUGAAUGACAAUCUCCAGAAAGUUUCCUUUGCUACCAGCUACUUCACUGCACUCUUCUGUGAAUGAAGUGGGUGGAAAAAUAUCGGACCCUUACAUAUGUACUUGUACGGGAAAAUGACUGAAAAUAUAGGUAUUUCACAAAAAUCCUCUUUAUUAAGUGAUGUCCUGUGAAAGUAAGGGUCAUUCAGACCCUGCUUUUAUUUUAUCUGAACCCUAAGGUGCUUUGUGAAGGAAAAUAAAUGGUUGCUUUUCUGGAAUAAAUUAUGAAAAUGAAAUUUAAGAAAAUGAGAAGGCAAAAGGGGAAGGAAUGUGAGACAAUGCAGUCCCUCCUGAGCACUGAAAACUUUUCUGAGUUUCUUCUCAAGAAUAAAUGAUUAACAAUUAAUAAGGGUGAAAGUGUUUUUUUGCGUUUGUGUGUAAUCACAAAUUUGAUGGUCCCACUGUACAAUCAGUGUACACCUAUAUCAUUCAAAUCUACCCUGCCUGCUCUGUAAGACCUUCAGUGGGUGAAAUGUCACUGUUGCACAGGGAAGCUAGUCCAGUGCUUUAUUAAAAUUACUU